GGAAUAUUGGACAAUGGGCGAAAGCCUGAUCCAGCAAUGCCGCGUGAGUGAUGAAGGCCUUAGGGUUGUAAAGCUCUUUUACCCGGGAUGAUAAUGACAGUACCGGGAGAAUAAGCUCCGGCUAACUCCGUGCCAGCAGCCGCGGUAAUACGGAGGGAGCUAGCGUUAUUCGGAAUUACUGGGCGUAAAGCGCACGUAGGCGGCUUUGUAAGUAAGAGGUGAAAGCCCAGAGCUCAACUCUGGAAUUGCCUUUUAGACUGCAUCGCUUGAAUCAUGGAGAGGUCAGUGGAAUUCCGAGUGUAGAGGUGAAAUUCGUAGAUAUUCGGAAGAACACCAGUGGCGAAGGCGGCUGACUGGACAUGUAUUGACGCUGAGGUGCGAAAGCGUGGGGAGCAAACAGGAUUAGAUACCCGAG
This 415-nucleotide ribosomal RNA is filed under the name uncultured Sphingomonas sp. RNAcentral's name for it is "bacterial SSU rRNA". It matches the Rfam family "Bacterial small subunit ribosomal RNA", at positions 358 to 790 of the family's 1533-position model. The record is from RNAcentral. Lineage: Bacteria; Pseudomonadati; Pseudomonadota; Alphaproteobacteria; Sphingomonadales; Sphingomonadaceae.